GAGUGUGAGGGUAGACUGGCUGGCUAGGUGGUGACCUUAUUUUCCCACACAGAUCUUUGAAAGCUGCUUGGUCUGUCAAAGAAGAUGACAGUCACAAAUAAAGGAGAAAGGCAUUUUAGUCAAGAGUAUUCGGAGCUGUGUUUUCCUGCUAGAUCCUCAAAACAGACAUAAGUAGUGUGCUUAUAUGAGAUCUCUUUAGUAGCCAGAAGAGAGUUUGAGAUAAAAGGAAGGUGCCUUAGUCACCUUCCUGCUUU
RNAcentral lists this small nuclear RNA (254 nucleotides) under Aotus nancymaae (Ma's night monkey). Its description in RNAcentral is "7SK RNA (ENSANAG00000000757.1)". It matches the Rfam family "7SK RNA". Rfam says of the family: 7SK was discovered as an abundant small nuclear RNA in the mid-70s but a possible function has only recently been suggested. Two independent studies have found that 7SK RNA binds the CDK9/cyclin T complex (known as elongation factor P-TEFb). The record is from Rfam by way of RNAcentral. Lineage: Eukaryota; Metazoa; Chordata; Mammalia; Primates; Aotidae.